This 419-nucleotide ribosomal RNA is filed under the name uncultured Prevotella sp. RNAcentral's name for it is "bacterial SSU rRNA". It matches the Rfam family "Bacterial small subunit ribosomal RNA", at positions 358 to 774 of the family's 1533-position model. Lineage: Bacteria; Pseudomonadati; Bacteroidota; Bacteroidia; Bacteroidales; Prevotellaceae. The record is from RNAcentral.
GGAAUAUUGGUCAAUGGGCGAGAGUCUGAACCAGCCAAGUAGCGUGCAGGAUGACGGCCCUAUGGGUUGUAAACUGCUUUUUUAGGGGAAUAAAGUUAGCCACGUGUGGUUAUUUGCAUGUACCCUACGAAUAAGGACCGGCUAAUUCCGUGCCAGCAGCCGCGGUAAUACGGAAGGUCCGGGCGUUAUCCGGAUUUAUUGGGUUUAAAGGGAGCGCAGGCCGACUGGUAAGCGUGACGUGAAAUGUAGCCGCUCAACGGCUGAACUGCGUCGCGAACUGUCAGUCUUGAGUGAGUUCGAUGUUGGCGGAAUUCGUGGUGUAGCGGUGAAAUGCUUAGAUAUCACGAAGAACUCCGAUUGCGAAGGCAGCCAACAAGGCCUUUACUGACGCUAAAGCUCGAAGGUGCGGGUAUCGAACA